GGGGUCCAUUCCACGGAUUCCGUGACGCAGCUAACGCAUUAAGUUCCCCGCCUGGGGAGUACGGCCGCAAGGCUAAAACUCAAAGGAAUUGACGGGGACCCGCACAAGCGGCGGAGCAUGCGGAUUAAUUCGAUGCAACGCGAAGAACCUUACCAAGGCUUGACAUAUACGAGAACGGGCCAGAAAUGGUCAACUCUUUGGACACUCGUAAACAGGUGGUGCAUGGUUGUCGUCAGCUCGUGUCGUGAGAUGUUGGGUUAAGUCCCGCAACGAGCGCAACCCUCGUUCUAUGUUGCCAGCACGUAAUGGUGGGAACUCAUGGGAUACUGCCGGGGUCAACUCGGAGGAAGGUGGGGAUGACGUCAAAUCAUCAUGCCCCUUAUGUCUUGGGCUUCACGCAUGCUACAAUGGCCGGUACAAAGGGCUGCAAUACCGCGAGGUGGAGCGAAUCCCAAAAAGCCGGUCCCAGUUCGGAUUGAGGUCUGCAACUCGACCUCAUGAAGUCGGAGUCGCUAGUAAUCGCAGAUCAGCAACGCUGCGGUGAAUACGUUCCCGGGUCUUGUACACACCGCCCGUCAAGUCAUGAAAGUCGGUAACACCUGAAGCCGGUGGCCUAACCCUUGUGGAGGG
This 630-nucleotide ribosomal RNA is filed under the name Microbacterium sp. Its description in RNAcentral is "bacterial SSU rRNA". It matches the Rfam family "Bacterial small subunit ribosomal RNA", at positions 824 to 1450 of the family's 1533-position model. Lineage: Bacteria; Bacillati; Actinomycetota; Actinomycetes; Micrococcales; Microbacteriaceae. The record is from RNAcentral.